GACGAACGCUGGCGGCGUGCUUAACACAUGCAAGUCGAACGAUGAUGCGGUGCUUGCACCGUGGAUUAGUGGCGAACGGGUGAGUAACACGUGAGUAACCUGCCCUUCACUCUGGGAUAAGCGCUGGAAACGGUGUCUAAUACUGGAUAUUUAGGCUCUGCUGCAUGGUGGGGUUUGGAAAGAUUUUUUGGUGGAGGAUGGGCUCGCGGCCUAUCAGUUUGUUGGUGGGGUGAUGGCCUACCAAGACGACGACGGGUAGCCGGCCUGAGAGGGUGACCGGCCACACUGGGACUGAGACACGGCCCAGACUCCUACGGGAGGCAGCAGUGGGGAAUAUUGCACAAUGGGCGCAAGCCUGAUGCAGCGACGCCGCGUGGGGGAUGAAGGCCUUCGGGUUGUAAACUCCUUUCGCCAUUGACGAAGCCCUUUGGGGUGACGGUAGGUGGAGAAGAAGCACCGGCUAACUACGUGCCAGCAGC
This 479-nucleotide ribosomal RNA is filed under the name uncultured bacterium. Its description in RNAcentral is "bacterial SSU rRNA". It matches the Rfam family "Bacterial small subunit ribosomal RNA", at positions 28 to 515 of the family's 1533-position model. The record is from RNAcentral.